This is a long non-coding RNA of Syzygium oleosum, 2024 nucleotides long. RefSeq lists it as uncharacterized. The transcript is spliced from 5 exons. The record is from RefSeq and is a predicted model, not a curated record. Lineage: Eukaryota; Viridiplantae; Streptophyta; Magnoliopsida; Myrtales; Myrtaceae.
AUUUUACAUUCUUUGCGGGUAUACUAUGGUUUUGCUCAUUUAUCCACAUGAACUGGGAUAAAUAGAUGUCUUGGAGAUGCGAGCACAGCUGCAAUUUCAAAAUUAACAUCAUUGAGUGAUACAAAUCAAAAUGAAAGAUGUCGGCUUUUUCCAUCUCUGUCCCAGAUACACCAUUACUGCUUACUAGCCAUUCCGAUGAUAAUAUAGUUUUAGUUUGUCAUUGCAGAGCGAGAGAGGUUACAUCAUAUAGUCUUCAUUUUACCUCUGAGAGAUGACGACUAGAUCUUUGCUGUGGCAAAUGCGUCAACUUGCAACCUAAGACUAGGUUGUCUCACUGGCUGAUUGGUUUUUGGCCAGGAGCUUGAAUUGUUGCUUCAGUCGGACAUUCAAGUUGCCAGGGCCAAAGUGAGAAAAGAAUGCUGAAAUGUAGAUUUUUUUUCGAACAACAAUCUUGGAUAUCGACUGUAGCAGUGAGUCCAACUGGCUUGCUUAAGAAGGCAAGUUGAAGCAUCAAACAGAAAGGUGUUCUCCUGACUCCCGAAUUCUUUUCAUGUCGAACUGCAAUAUUUUCAUCCAGUUCAGCAAUAGCAGGGUCUUCAGGUUUAUCUAGAAGCCCGAAUGCUUAUUGCGGAAAACAAUUCCCAGGAGAAUUAUCAUGAUACCAAGUCAAAUAAUGAAGCUAAGUACAUGAUCUACAGUAUAACUUAAGACUGCAGGACUGUCAAAUGCUUCUUCUAACUCGGUAGCAGAUACUUCAAAUUGUUACCUUUAACUGGAGCGCAAAUGUUACUGAAGAGACUGAAAAUACUUUGACAAUUAUUAUGACAAGGAGGAUGGGGAGAUUUUUCGUUGUUUGUUUCAAGGUUAUCUAAGAUCCUACUAUGCCAAAAGAUUUGGAAGUUUUUUCUUUACUGAAAAGAGAAAAAGAGGGACGUUCAUGAAAAAUGUCACUUUUACUAGCAUUUUCAGAUACCAACUCUUUAUUAUCACAUUGCCACAUGUCAAAUGUUGUCAUAUGGUCGUUUCUAGUUGCCAAAAUAAAGUCGAUAGUGUUCUUUAGGUUAAAGCUUCUGAAUUCUUUGAAAACAUCACGAGCGUCACAGUUUCGCUCUUCUUUUGUUUCUGGCGAAUCUCUUCGUAACUAUCUGUUUGGCCAGUGGAUCUACAUGUGUUAUUUUACAGAUUCUUUGCUGGUAUACAAUGAGUUUGCUCAUUUAUCCAUAUGAACUAGGAUAAAUAGAUGCCUUGGAGGUACGAGCACAGCUGCAAAGCUUUGUUCUAUCAUCAUAGAGUUAUACAAAUCAAAAUGAAAAAUGUCAGUUUUUUCAUCUCUGUCCAGUAUGCACGGGUACUGCUUACUAGCUAUUCUAAUGAUAAUUUUGUUUGAGUUUGUGAUUGCAGAAUGACAGAGUGGUUACUUCAUCUAGUCAGCAUUUUACCUCUGACAGGUGACAACUAGAUCUUUGUUGCGGCGAAUGCGUCAACUUGCUUCAGCAAAUAAGAUUUAUAAAGACAGCGACUUCUUUUGUGAUAUAUCCUGAGCUAGAGUUGUGGUUCUUCCGUCGGAGAUUCAAGGUGCCAAGAUCAGGCAUGUCACCGAUUUGCUUUGCAAUGGGAGCUCUAAAUUAACAAGCAAUAGAGAUAUGCAGGACACUAGUAUUAGACAACCACAAUGUAGUAACCAUAUAUCAGUCUUUUACACUCUAGCAUGUGGAACUAGGAGAAUCAACACACAGAUGUCCGUCAUGAUUUCGAACUUGCUACCAAACCCUGUUUUUCCAAGUAAUGAGUUUCUCCAAUGUAAAUUGACACUUACCAACUUGGUAGCUCAAAUUCAUGUUUCUGUCUCUACUUUAGAUGAAAAAAAUGGUCACUCUGACAACGUCAAGAUUGGAACCGUAUUGAGAUUGUUAGUGAUUAUGUAACAACACAGAACAUCCUAGGAAUGCCAAAAUUUGGGACAGAGCUCUGCAAAUGCCAGCAGCCGCUGGUAUACGACUGAUGCAGUCCUUAUCAAUAUCCCA